CUACGGGUGGCUGCAGUGAGGAAUACUGCACAAUGGGGGGAACCCUGAUGCAGCAACGCCGCGUGGAGGAUGACGCAUUUCGGUGUGUAAACUCCUUUUAUAUGUCAAGAAAAUGACGGUAGCAUAUAAAUAAGCACCGGCUAACUCCGUGCCAGCAGCCGCGGUAAUACGGAGGGUGCAAGCGUUACUCGGAAUCACUGGGCGUAAAGGACGCGUAGGCGGGUCGGAAAGUCAGGUGUGAAAUCCUACAGCUUAACUGUAGAACUGCACUUGAAACUUCUAAUCUAGAGUAUGGGAGGGGGAGAUGGAAUUAGUGGUGUAGGGGUAAAAUCCGUAGAUAUCACUAGGAAUACCUAAAGCGAAGGCGAUCUCCUGGAACAUUACUGACGCUAAGGCGUGAAAGCGUGGGGAGCAAACAGGAUUAGAUACCCCCGUAGUC
RNAcentral lists this ribosomal RNA (439 nucleotides) under uncultured bacterium. RNAcentral's name for it is "partial 16S ribosomal RNA". It matches the Rfam family "Bacterial small subunit ribosomal RNA", at positions 339 to 795 of the family's 1533-position model. The record is from RNAcentral.